AUGUGUUUCGUUAUUUGGACCAUUACUAUAAGAAAUUUCUAUUGUUUUAAUCCAAGGCGUAUCCGACAUUGUUUUAAAUUUUAAGAAAUUUAAGGGAUGUGUGGCUGAGAGGCCAAAGCCGCUUGGCUACGGCCUGGCCAACUAACAAGUGGACUCGAAUUCUAAUCCUGACUCAGAGUUGUGUUUACCCAUCAGCUUAGGGCAGAAUGGAAACCUUAUCAAGGCUUUCCAUUCCCACUAAGCAUGUCCCCAAAAGAGAUUGUUUUUUUUUCCUUUCCCCUCACUCCCUUCCCCUUUUUUUUCCCCGCCCCUGUAAAAAUCAAUUAAUUUGAUCUUGCACUGUUCUUUAUUUAACAGUACCUUCUUCCACUUCCAUGAAACAAUACGAACUACCAGAAGAGUUUAUUUCGCGGGAUAUAUAUGCUUCGUUAUAAUCUUGUU
Biomphalaria pfeifferi is the source of this 441-nucleotide non-coding RNA. Lineage: Eukaryota; Metazoa; Mollusca; Gastropoda; Planorbidae. The record is from the annotation of a GenBank genome assembly.